AUGUUCACUGCAUGGUGUCUAUGGUGUCACCGCAAUGCAUGCAUCUUUGAUGGCAUGCGGCCUUCCACAUCACGUGUCCUACAGGAAAUCCAAGACCAAGCAUGGCUAUAGGAGAGGGCCGGUGCUACAGGAUUGACUACCAUCCUCCCUGAGGCGUAG
This 159-nucleotide ribosomal RNA is filed under the name Triticum aestivum (bread wheat). RNAcentral's name for it is "partial small subunit ribosomal RNA". The record is from RNAcentral. Lineage: Eukaryota; Viridiplantae; Streptophyta; Magnoliopsida; Poales; Poaceae.